This 483-nucleotide ribosomal RNA is filed under the name uncultured bacterium. RNAcentral's name for it is "bacterial SSU rRNA". It matches the Rfam family "Bacterial small subunit ribosomal RNA", at positions 791 to 1272 of the family's 1533-position model. The record is from RNAcentral.
UAGUCCAUGCAGUAAACGAUGGGUGCUAGUCGUCGGACUUUUGUUCGGUGUCGUAGCUAACGCGUUAAGCACCCCGCCUGGGGAGUACGGUCGCAAGAUUAAAACUCAAAUAAAUUGACGGGGACCCGCACAAGCAGUGGAGCAUGUGGUUUAAUUCGACGCAACGCGAAGAACCUUACCAGCGUUUGACAUGGGAAGUGCCGGUUACAGAAUGGUAACCUUCAGUUCGGCUGGCUUCCACACAGGUGCUGCAUGGCUGUCGUCAGCUCGUGUCGUGAGAUGUUGGGUUAAGUCCCGCAACGAGCGCAACCCUUAUCGUUAGUUACUAACAGUUCGGCUGAGGACUCUAGCGAAACUGCCGGUGAUAAGCCGGAGGAAGGUGGGGAUGACGUCAAGUCCUCAUGGGCCCUUACACGCUGGGGCUACACACGUGCUACAAUGGGUAACUACAACGGGGACGCAAUACCGCGAGGUGGAGCAAAU